This 156-nucleotide ribosomal RNA is filed under the name uncultured bacterium. RNAcentral's name for it is "partial 16S ribosomal RNA". It matches the Rfam family "Bacterial small subunit ribosomal RNA", at positions 355 to 507 of the family's 1533-position model. The record is from RNAcentral.
UGAGGAAUAUUGGUCAAUGGGCGAGAGCCUGAACCAGCCAAGUAGCGUGCAGGAUGACGGCCCUAUGGGUUGUAAACUGCUUUUAUAUGGGGAUAAAGUGAGGGACGUGUCCCGUUUUGUAUGUACCAGUAUGAAUAAGGACCGGCUAAUUCCGUG